This 406-nucleotide ribosomal RNA is filed under the name uncultured bacterium. RNAcentral's name for it is "partial 16S ribosomal RNA". It matches the Rfam family "Bacterial small subunit ribosomal RNA", at positions 30 to 526 of the family's 1533-position model. The record is from RNAcentral.
AUUGAACGCUGGCGGCAGGCCUAACACAUGCAAGUCGAACGAGUGGCGGACGGGUGAGUAAUGUCUGGGAAACUGCCCGAUGGAGGGGGAUAACUACUGGAAACGGUAGCUAAUACCGCAUACCAUCGGAUGUUCCCAGAUGGGAUUACCUAGGAGGUGGUGUAACGGCUCACCUAGUCGACGAUCCCUAGCUGGUCUGAGAGGAUGACCAGCGAGACUGGAACUGAGACACUGUCCAGACUCCUACGGGAGGCAUCAGUGGUGAAUAUUGCACAAUGGGCGAAAGCCUGAUGCAGCCAUGCAGCGUGUAUGAAGAAGGCCUUCGGGUUGUAAAGUACUGUCAGCGAGGAGGCGUUACUCGCCGAAGAAGCACCGGCUAACUCCGUGCCAGCAGGCGCGGUAAUAC